RNAcentral lists this ribosomal RNA (555 nucleotides) under uncultured Gigasporaceae. Its description in RNAcentral is "SSU rRNA". It matches the Rfam family "Eukaryotic small subunit ribosomal RNA", at positions 548 to 1105 of the family's 1831-position model. The record is from RNAcentral. Lineage: Eukaryota; Fungi; Glomeromycota; Glomeromycetes; Diversisporales; Gigasporaceae.
UUGGAGGGCAAGUCUGGUGCCAGCAGCCGCGGUAAUUCCAGCUCCAAUAGCGUAUAUUAAAGUUGUUGCAGUUAAAAAGCUCGUAGUUGAAUUUCGGGAUUCUACCGUUGGUCGGGCUAACAAGUCUGUACUGGUGUGUAGAAUUUCUACCUUCUGGGGAACUAUCAUGUUAUUAAUUUAGCGUGGUGGGAAACCAGGACCUUUACCUUGAAAAAAUUAGAGUGUUCAAAGCAGGCUUACGUCUGAAUACAUUAGCAUGGAAUAAUAGAAUAGGACGGUGGUCCUGUUUUGUUGGUUUCUGAAUCACCGUAAUGAUUAAUAGGGAUAGUUGGGGGCAUUAGUAUUCAAUUGUCAGAGGUGAAAUUCUUGGAUUUAUUGAAGACUAACUUCUGCGAAAGCAUUUGCCAAGGAUGUUUUCAUUAAUCAAGAACGAAAGUUAGGGGAUCGAAGACGAUCAGAUACCGUCGUAGUCUUAACCAUAAACUAUGCCGACUAGGGAUCGGACGAUGUUAAAUUUUAUUGACUCGUUCGGCGCCUUACGGGCAGUCGACUGCC